AUGACUAUGGCGAAAUAGGUAUACGCGAUGAAUUUAGGUUUCAUUACUUAAUGUAUUAAGGGUUCAAGUCCCUUUAGUCAUA
RNAcentral lists this transfer RNA (82 nucleotides) under Millerozyma farinosa. Its description in RNAcentral is "transfer RNA-Leu". It matches the Rfam family "tRNA". From Rfam's summary of the family: Transfer RNA (tRNA) molecules are approximately 80 nucleotides in length. Their secondary structure includes four short double-helical elements and three loops (D, anti-codon, and T loops). The record is from RNAcentral. Lineage: Eukaryota; Fungi; Ascomycota; Pichiomycetes; Serinales; Debaryomycetaceae.